RNAcentral lists this ribosomal RNA (23 nucleotides) under Phomopsis sp. NR-2006-D53. RNAcentral describes it as "partial 28S ribosomal RNA". The record is from RNAcentral. Lineage: Eukaryota; Fungi; Ascomycota; Sordariomycetes; Diaporthales; Diaporthaceae.
GCUGAACUUAAGCAUAUCAAUAG